GAUCAUGGCUCAGGAUGAACGCUAGCUACAGGCUUAACACAUGCAAGUCGAGGGGCAGCAUUUCAGUUUGCUUGCAAACUGGAGAUGGCGACCGGCGCACGGGUGAGUAACACGUAUCCAACCUGCCGAUAACUCGGGGAUAGCCUUUCGAAAGAAAGAUUAAUACCCGAUGGUAUAAUCAGACCGCAUGGUCUUGUUAUUAAAGUAAUUUCGGUUAUCGAGUGGGGAUGCGUUCCAUUAGG
This 242-nucleotide ribosomal RNA is filed under the name uncultured bacterium. RNAcentral's name for it is "partial 16S ribosomal RNA". It matches the Rfam family "Bacterial small subunit ribosomal RNA", at positions 15 to 245 of the family's 1533-position model. The record is from RNAcentral.